RNAcentral lists this ribosomal RNA (243 nucleotides) under Triticum aestivum (bread wheat). RNAcentral's name for it is "partial small subunit ribosomal RNA". The record is from RNAcentral. Lineage: Eukaryota; Viridiplantae; Streptophyta; Magnoliopsida; Poales; Poaceae.
AUGGCCGGAUCAAGGAGCAACGCUGCUUCGACAUCCUCAUCCUCUUCGUCAUCCACAUCCUCUAAGAAGGGCGGGAGGUCUCAGUUCGAGUGGAGGCUUGGUGACUUCUUCAAGCACAUGAUCGAGUCAGACACCUCCUUUGCCUACGGGGACAGUUUCAAAGCCAUGAACCGGGUUGUUCAGCAGUUCGGCCUGAAGCGCACCCUCGAGCACAUCCGGCUGACGGGGACUUUGCCGUUUUGA